Molecule: transfer RNA, 76 nt
Filed under: Fruhstorferiola omei
Lineage: Eukaryota; Metazoa; Arthropoda; Insecta; Orthoptera; Acrididae
Description: tRNA-Gln
Rfam family: tRNA
About the family: Transfer RNA (tRNA) molecules are approximately 80 nucleotides in length.
Source: RNAcentral
UACAUUAAGGUGUAUGAUGCACGUUAGUUUUUGAUACUAAAGGUGAUAGUUUAAUUCUAUCUUAUGUAAUAUCUAA